This is a long non-coding RNA of Erigeron canadensis, 618 nucleotides long. RefSeq lists it as uncharacterized. NCBI's taxonomy places the organism in Eukaryota, Viridiplantae, Streptophyta, Magnoliopsida, Asterales, Asteraceae. The record is from RefSeq and is a predicted model, not a curated record. The transcript has 4 exons.
AUAGUGGAUUGUUUCUCGGCUUUCGCCACCCGUGGUUUUUUCCCGUUUUGGGUUUUCCAACCAAAAACAGUACAAGAAUCAAGUAAAAAAGAAGGUAAGGACCCACGUUUAGCACUCCCUAAAUUUGGUCUCAAAACUGCAAUCUCUGCAUAAUCAAUUCUUUUCCCAUUUAGCUUUGAAUUGUGCAUUCCAUCAAAACUAUAAUCAUUUCUUGACUGCUUGUUGAAAUUCGGCCGCCUCCUAUGCCUAAUUAUCCUUGACUUCCUCUCACACGAGCCUAGAGAAGGAAGAAGAGGUUAAACUAUGAGAAAUCCAUAGAAGAGCUGGAGUUUAUUACAAAUCUCCUCGAGAGCCAGGUUGACAUGGUCAAAGCAGAGGCGGAAAAGCAAAGAUUGCAACGCGAAGAGCUAGAACUAAAGUUUGAAGCUUUUAAACAGAAAAUCAAUACCGGAAUAAGUAGCGAUACAAAGAAAGAGAAGUGUCUUCAAGAGGUCCUCAUACGUGUUCAAGUUCUUGAGAAAGAGAUCAUCCAGGGAUGCAGAGAUAUUUCAACAUAAAGCUAUCACCGAGCCUAAACUGAACGCUUGAAGCCUUGGCUGCAAGUCGGCAAAAAGAGGC